UUUUCAACUUCUGCCUGUGAGUGAGAUGAUCCCAUAUUCACCCUUCUGUUUCUGACUUAUUUCACUUAACAUGAUUUCUUCAAGCUCCAUCCAAGAUGGGGUGAAAAUGGUGAAAUCAUCAUUUUUUAUACCUGAGUAGCAUUCCAUUGUGUAUAUAGACCACAACUUGCUCAGCCACUCAUCUGUUGUUGGACAACAGAUUCUUAAUUGUAUGUUAAAGUCUCCAAAUCACACUAAUUCUUACCUUUACUGCUUUGUGAUCUAUCAAAAAGAUGGACAAUUUCACAACUAGUUAAAAAAAUCAAUAUUUGAUUGCAAAUAGAAAAGGCAAAAUAACCUGUCCAGCUUACAUAUGUACAUACACUAUACUUUUGUGGUUCUAAUAAAAACAAUUGAUGUCGUGGGAAAUUGAGGUGGGUGGAGGAAGGCUCUGUCAAUGUGACUGCACCUUCUGAAAUUACAGAAAUUCUCACCAAGCAUUUUGUGCCUUAAGACUUUUAAAAAGUGUUCCAGUCAUACAAAUUUAGAUUCACAGAGUUUAGCCCUCUGUGCAGUUGGUUGCUUCAUCACACAUUUGUACUAACAAGUCUCGUUAUGUGGGCUGCAUAUUGAGUAAGCAUUCACAGUGACUGCUUUCAGUACACCUGGGCUGUUUUUUCCCUUCUUAAUGCCUACUUCAUAUGUGGCAUGCCUUAUACCACUUCUCUCAGUGUUUUGAAAUGAGUCACUGAGGCAGUGAACAAAGUCAGAAAAGGUCAAGGACUGGAAGCUUGAUAAAAGUUUCUUUAUAGACAAAUAAAACGAUAACAAGAGUUGAAAAAGACAGCCAAGUCAGCCAUUGAGAUGAUGUAAUACCUACAUACAGAGAACUAGACCACGGAAAAUGAGAAGAUUUUACUACAAAGAACUAAACUAAUUUUCCUAACCUUGAAAAAAGUGACUCUGUCUUUCACUAUGUCAUAACUCUGUGAGAGCUUUUUCAUUUCUGUUGGAAUCAUGAUUACUUUCAUUGGAUUGUCUUCUUUU
Long non-coding RNA from Erinaceus europaeus (western European hedgehog), 1026 nucleotides. RefSeq lists it as uncharacterized. The record is from RefSeq and is a predicted model, not a curated record. The transcript has 3 exons. Lineage: Eukaryota; Metazoa; Chordata; Mammalia; Eulipotyphla; Erinaceidae.